GAAGAACAAAGAGGGGGAAAAAACACAACGAUGUUAAGGCAAACAGUUCCGUACAGUAUUACUGCUAUUUAUACAUGACACAUUUAACAGAUGUGUUCUGCUUCAUCUUUACUCCCCUGAACUUUGCACUGACGAACAGGUAAUACAUUUGUUUGUAAAACUGAGGCUGAAAGUUUGCUGGGUCGCUGCCAAAGUUAUAGCUUUUCUUGUACAUGUUUACUGUUUUGAAACAAUUUUAGAUAUUAUUCUAGUUAAGUAGUGUUAGGGAACAGAUAGGGAACCUCUCAGCGACUUAUGCAAAUAUGAUUUAUCGUUCCGACUGAGCUUAUCAUCAAGUCUGGAGAUAUAAAUGUGUACCCGAUAGAGCCUUUGACCUAGCCUCCUAGACAACAACAAGAGGGGGAGGGGGGGAGUGAGAAUUUCUUUCUCGGUUAUAAAUAUGACCUUUCUUCCAGUUCCCAAGCAGACUUCCCUCUACACGGCUGCUUGGCCUUCCAGGCUAUUGAGCUACACACUACUACCCUUUACAUUCCUCAACACUACCCCGGCUUGUCACACCUCCUUCACGUGCACAGCAGCCAGUUGGUAGUGCAGGAGUGCAUGGCUGGUGCAUGCGUGGGGAGUGAUCAGAGGGUGGGCAGGGGGGUUAGGGGCUGUUGCUGUAAAGGGACAUCGGAGAAGGCAGUAACACAAAGCAGGGGACUCCAGAGCCAGUAGGAGCUGUCAUGUGCCUAAUGAGGCACAAGACUCAUAGCACCCCUCCAUUAAUCCUUUUUAUCAUGGAUGACAUCAUCACGUGAUGCUAUUUAAUAUUUUUACACAUCAAAAAAUGAAAAAAAUAUCAAUAGAAUGUAAUUUUUUGUUUUUAUUCGAUUGUUUUUUUAUUGGAUAUUCGCUUGCAUAUUGAACCACAAAACCUCAUUUGUGUGUAAUGACCUUUCCUCUAGAGGCAUGAACUCUUGGUGGCCAGUCAUGGCUGUAGCUUGCCUCAGGGUCAGGGGUUCUCCUGAACUUUGGCACACUUAUCCAAUACAAUGGGAGAGAAGGAGGAGAUGGAGGUGGGGGGUUUGUGUGUAGGGAUGGGGGAGGAGAGGUGAGGAUGACUGAAGAGGAGGAGGAGGAUGUGGUGGAGGGAUGUCUGAUUCCCUAACAGAUCUAGGGGAAAGGUUGCUCACUCUUGAGGGAUGUACAAAUGUUUGUUUUACACAAAAAGGUGGGACAUCUUAUUAAAAAAAAAAAAAAAAGGGGGUGUCUUCAAAACAGUGGAAGAUAUCUGUAUGAAGUUCAUAGAUAAAUAUAGACUCCCUUUUCCGUUUCCCCCGUUAUUUUUUUCUUGGCUCAGGUACAAGGACAGUAAUCUGAGGAACAUUGCAUGAUAGAUUUGUACAAAGCCUCCCCUGCCUUUUCCAGGUUCCCCUCGUCUCCCUCCAACAAUAGAAAUGAUCAGUGUGAGUAAUCCUGUUGAGCUUUGUGACCCUGACUGAACCCUCUUAGAGAUCAGCGAACUUUUCCCCAGUUGAAACCUUGCCAGAGAAACUUGUUUCUUUUUUCCUCACUCCUCAGAUCCUGCUGAUGUCAGAGCUCUGAGGUGUUAUUGUGAUUUGUACUGGCUGACUGAUCUCAACUGUUGCCUCAGCCACGUUCACCUUUCACCUACUUCUCAUCUACGGCCAUCAGAAACAGAGGUGAAGGAAAGGCGAAGUGGAUGAAAGGUAUCUGUCUGCAGCAGGUACAAGCAGGGACAUGGCACCUCGAAAAGACACCUGCUUCACCCAACAGAUACAGUAAUAGUUGAACUGGAUGACCGUCUGGUACAUGCUCCUUGUGAUUGUAGCUGCAUGUAAAGAAUGUACUUGCCUUGCUGCAUUGUGAACUAAAAGAAGAACUGCAGGCUUUCAUUUUUGGCUUUACGAGUGCGCAGAUGUCUGCGUCAUAUCAGGCAAAAGGAUGAUUCAUUUUGUCUUUGAAGGAACAUUAAAGAUUCCUCUGAUGUUCAGAUUUUGAGAAAUAUGUCUGAAUGUGGUGGCUCAGAUGAAUUACAGCCGUGUGUCAAACAGGAGGAGCUGUUUUUUUGGGAGCUUGAUGAAGUACAACGUACUGUAGGCCUUCGUGGGUGUAUAAGAUGGCCUGAAGUUGAUCUGGAAAACUGUGAUAGAGCCUUAAUUUGUGGUGAGAGGAUGCAGUUGGCAUGAAUUCGGGGUGUUUUGCUUGAUAUUGUAAUCAUACUGUAAUUGUAGGAUGACACAUGCUUGUUUUCAUCAUGACCUUAAGGACACAAUUACAUCGUAAUUUAACAAGAAAUUGUCCUUCAUCAGUGGUGGAAGAAGCAUUCAGAUCUUUUACUAAAGUAAAAAUAUUAACACCACAGUGUAAAAAUACUCCAUUACAAGUAAAGAUCCUGCAUUCAAAAUGUUACUUAAGUACAAAAAGCAUCAAAAGUAGGCUGUGCAUUAUGCAGAAUAGUCACUUUCUGAUUGUCAUUUCAUUAUAUGUAUUAUAUGGGAUUAUUAAUCCUGAAGCAUUUACAUGUAAGCAGCAUUUUAAUGUUGUACUUGACCAAGGUGGAGCAAAGUUGAAUUAUUAUGAACAUAGUGUUGGAUAUCUUAAUCUGUAACAGUAAGUUUUGUGUGUAAAAUUUGAAUCUGCAAUGUAGAUAAUAACUGGUGUCCAAAAAACUGUAGUGGUGUAAAAAGUACAAUAUUUUCUUUCAAAAUGUGGCAGUUUAAAUAUGAAGUAGCAUCAAAUGGAAAUACUCCAGUAGUACCUUAAAGUAGUACUUAAGUACAGUAUGUGAGUAAAUGUAGUUAGUUACUUUCCAUCACUGAAUUUCAUCCAGACAGGAAUAAAAGCGGCUCAAACAAGAAUAAUCAACAGGCCAGUCACAUUGUCAGUAGACAGUAUAUUUACUGGAGGACAGACUAAACAAGUGGAUUAAAUAAACAUCAAUUUUAUUUGUAUAUGUCUACAAUAACGUACAAGGCUUGCAGGAAUCCGUGUCCUCUGUAUCCUCUCAUUUGAACUCACAAGCCGUACAGUCGUAUGUUACUGAUCAUCACUGGAGCCACACCUCGACACAGCUGCUUAUUCAAUUUCUCAAAAUGGCUGCUCCCAUCUCUAGCCGGUAUAAUGACCUUUCACCCAGAUUCCAAACACAGAACAUCUGUAAAUCACAGUGCAGCCCCCAGACUUAGUCAUGGACGAGGGGAUGGAAAGAGGAAGGAUGGAAAAAAACCCAAAAAACAGGUGCUGAAGGCUGUAAACCUCUGGUUCCCAUGGAGAGACUGAUCUGUGAUCUUUUCCAUUUGGGACCAUUUUAUGAGGUUUUGGGGUUUUAUAUUCACAGAUUUUUUUCCACUUGUGUUUGCCAGAAAUACUUAUCUGAAUCUAUUCCAGUGAAGUAAAUAAUGUCGAAAAAGAUUUAGACCAGUUUUGAGAGGAAAACUGAAGGAAAUUCUGAGGAAAAAAAACUAUACAUUUUCAAUGCUUCUGUUCACUGAAAUUGUUUUUCUAUCAAAGAUCUCAGCAUAUGAAUAUCCAAGUGAGACUUAAUAUUACUACUCGUCCAUCAUCAGAUAGGGCACCCAAUUUAACACACAUACAAUUGGGGUGUGUCACCUGCCCUCCUCACUUCUCUUGGAAUCAGCUAGAGUAAACAAAUGUCAGCUGCCCUGCGUUCCUCAUUUCUGAUAUGAGAUAUUCAUGAGUCGCAGGCAAGCAGCGACCUUUUUAGCUGACUGCGCAAUCACUGAGGUUCAGAUUUAGUGAAUGGAGCUCAUGACUGUCUUGUGAUUGAGUAGAAAAGUCAGUCAGGAUGCACUGGAGAGGUAAAUCUAGAGGAGCUGCAGGUGGGAUCUGUUCUCAUGACACAUAAGAAGAUGGAUGCUGCUUUCUGGGUUUACCAUAAACAUAACUGAUGAAGAAAUAGUCAAUAAAUGAUAUAGCUGGUGUGAGAUUUAUGUUUUUUGGUGGGUAUCAGGAAUGUACAGUAUGUUAGAUUUAAGUUUGACCUUUUUUUUUCAAAACCUGAUUUAUAGGCAGAUAUUUUGACUGUCAAGCACAGAUGUAACUGAUAAUAUUUACGAUGGCUCUGUUCCAUUAAGUGUCCCAGUAAGCCAUGUCAGUGAGUUAGCAUGCAUAAUACCAGGACCCUGAAACUGGUACACCUAAAAGGAACACAGCCAUAAUUAAUCAUUAGUACUUCUCCUGCUGAUGUAAAAAAAAUCACUAAUUAAUCAGUUUCACUCAGAAAUGAUGAUGGGUUUAGGGAUAUUGCUGCAUGAAUUUAAAUGUUUUUUUGUAUUUCCAUUUAAAGGGAAUCACAUUGUAUUAAGAAACAAAUUACCUCAUAAACUAUGAUUUAACCACAGAGAUGGUUAUAGUUGGGAGACAUAAUAAUACUGCAGUAUCCCUUUUUCUGCCAUAAAUGAUUCAAAUCAGUGAGGACAGACAAACCAGCUGACUCUUGCACCAGGAGGAAGGUGUUUGCCUUGAAACAGUUUUCCAUUUCCCCUUCUACAGUAUGUUGAGAACAGCAGACAGCCAGGUAAAACACAAUACUGCCUCCCAGUGGUGCAAAGCGAGAACAUAUCGUUUGUAUUUGUUCAGCCUUGACCCCUGCCCAUUUAUCCAGUGUGGCCCCCUUUAGUGACUGUUGUACUGUUGCUGCCCCAGGAACUGCAUACUGAAUGUGACAUGGCACCGAAGCAAAUGAAAACCUGCAGUUUUUCUUUUAGCCUCCAGCAGUCCUGAGAGAUGAAGAAGUUGUGAAAAAUGUUCACCUCUGGUUUGGUUCAGCACAUACAGGCCCAGGCAGGGAGAGCAGGCUGAGAGGAUAUGAGAGAUUUCCUGUGAGGACUCUGACAUGCUGUCCUUGGACAAAGAUGGUCCCCAUUUUGCAUCUGCAUGUAUCAAGAGACUCCUUCAGUUCCCACACAAAUAUUUGACUUCUGCCUUUUUAUGAUGCCAAAACUUUAAAUAUCUGCAUAUGCUCAGCUUUUGUAACAUCCUGUAAAGUUUGAAUGAUGUGACUUAAGCUAUGUAAGAUAAAAGAAUAUGUGCUCCAG
Siniperca chuatsi (mandarin fish) is the source of this 5063-nucleotide long non-coding RNA. RefSeq lists it as uncharacterized. The transcript has 2 exons. The record is from RefSeq and is a predicted model, not a curated record. NCBI's taxonomy places the organism in Eukaryota, Metazoa, Chordata, Actinopteri, Centrarchiformes, Sinipercidae.